AAUAUACUCCCUCCCUCCGGAAAUACUUGUCGGAGAAAUGGAUGUAUCUAGAUCUAUUUUAGUUCUAGAUACAUCCAUUUGUCCGACAAGUAUUUCUGUGCGGAGGGAGUACAUU
This is a non-coding RNA of Triticum aestivum (bread wheat), 115 nucleotides long. NCBI's taxonomy places the organism in Eukaryota, Viridiplantae, Streptophyta, Magnoliopsida, Poales, Poaceae. The record is from Rfam.